AUACGGAGGACGCGAGCGUUAUCCGGAUUCAUUGGGUUUAAAGGGUGCGCAGGCGGCCGUGCAAGUCAGCGGUGAAAGCCCGGGGCUCAACCCCGGAAGUGCCGUUGAUACUGCAUGGCUGGAAUGCGGUCGAGGCGGGCGGGACGUGGCGUGUAGGGGGGAAAUGCGUAGAAAAGCCACAGAACGCCGAUAGCGGGGGCAGCUCGCCAGGCCUGCAUUGACGCUCGGGCACGAAAGCGUGGGGAUCGAACAGGAUUAGAUACCCUGGUAGUCCACGCCGUAAACGAUGGGCGCUCGUCGUCGGCGGCAGACAGUCGGCGGCCAAGCGAAAGCGAUAAGCGCCCCACCUGGGGAGUACGGUCGCAAGGCUGAAACUCAAAUGAAUUGACGGGG
This 393-nucleotide ribosomal RNA is filed under the name uncultured bacterium. Its description in RNAcentral is "partial 16S ribosomal RNA". It matches the Rfam family "Bacterial small subunit ribosomal RNA", at positions 523 to 918 of the family's 1533-position model. The record is from RNAcentral.